Molecule: transfer-messenger RNA, 387 nt
Filed under: Psittacicella melopsittaci
Lineage: Bacteria; Pseudomonadati; Pseudomonadota; Gammaproteobacteria; Pasteurellales; Psittacicellaceae
Description: Standard tmRNA
Rfam family: transfer-messenger RNA
About the family: Bacterial tmRNA, also known as 10Sa RNA or SsrA, is named for its dual tRNA and mRNA-like properties. Its role is to liberate the mRNA from a stalled ribosome.
Source: Rfam by way of RNAcentral
GGGGCUGUUCUGGAUUCGACGGGAUUGUGAAGUUUCAGAAUCAUGUAGAGUGGGAAGACUCUUAAAUAACUUCAAAUUAAAUAUAAAUGCAAAAGAUGCGUUUUUUGGCCGUUCAACAAACAACGGCGUAGCUUUAGCAGCUUAAUAACCUGAUCUAAAGCGGUCGGUGUGGAUUUCCACUAGCGAUGAAACACCCACUUUUAUAAUUAUCCUUAGCUAGUGAAUAGUAAUUGAGUUUUGAUGGGGCUUGUUACUAUUAUUUACCAUCUAGCGAUGUAGAUUUUGUUUUAUUUUUUACUACUAGCGAAAUUCUAAAUAAAACUAAACAUGUAGUAUUCUGUAAUGGAGUGAUUUCGGACAGGGGUUCAAAUCCCCUCAGCUCCACCA